AUUGAACGCUGGCGGCAGGCUUAACACAUGCAAGUCGAGCGGGGGAAGGUAGCUUGCUACCGGACCUAGCGGCGGACGGGUGAGUAAUGCUUAGGAAUCUGCCUAUUAGUGGGGGACAACAUCUCGAAGGGGAUGCUAAUACCGCAUACGUCCUACAGGAGAAAGCAGGGGAUCUUCGGACCUUGCGCUAAUAGAUGAGCCUAAGUCGGAUUAGCUAGUUGGUGGGGUAAAGGCCUACCAAGGCGACGAUCUGUAGCGGGUCUGAGAGGAUGAUCCGCCACACUGGGACUGAGACACGGCCCAGACUCCUACGGGAGGCAGCAGUGGGGAAUAUUGGACAAUGGGGGGAACCCUGAUCCAGCCAUGCCGCGUGUGUGAAGAAGGCCUUAUGGUUGUAAAGCACUUUAAGCGAGGAGGAGGCUACUUUAGUUAAUACCUAGAGAUAGUGGACGUUACUCGCAGAAUAAGCACCGGCUAACUCUGUG
Molecule: ribosomal RNA, 485 nt
Filed under: uncultured bacterium
Lineage: Bacteria
Description: partial 16S ribosomal RNA
Rfam family: Bacterial small subunit ribosomal RNA
Source: RNAcentral